GACGAACGCUGGCGGCGUGCUUAACACAUGCAAGUCGAACGGAAAGGCCCUGCUUUUGUGGGGUGCUCGAGUGGCGAACGGGUGAGUAACACGUGAGUAACCUGCCCUUGACUUUGGGAUAACUUCAGGAAACUGGGGCUAAUACCGGAUAGGAGCUCCUGCUGCAUGGUGGGGGUUGGAAAGUUUCGGCGGUUGGGGAUGGACUCGCGGCUUAUCAGCUUGUUGGUGGGGUAGUGGCUUACCAAGGCUUUGACGGGUAGCCGGCCUGAGAGGGUGACCGGCCACAUUGGGACUGAGAUACGGCCCAGACUCCUACGGGAGGCAGCAGUGGGGAAUAUUGCACAAUGGGCGGAAGCCUGAUGCAGCAACGCCGCGUGCGGGAUGACGGCCUUCGGGUUGUAAACCGCUUUCGCCUGUGACGAAGCGUGAGUGACGGUAAUGGGUAAAGAAGCACCGGCUAACUACGUGCCAGCAUCCGCGGUGAUACGUAGGGUGCGAGCGUUGUCCGGAUUUAUUGGGCGUAAAGGGCUCGUAGGUGGUUGAUCGCGUCGGAAGUGUAAUCUUGGGGCUUAACCCUGAGCGUGCUUUCGAUACGGGUUGACUUGAGGAAGGUAGGGGAGAAUGGAAUUCCUGGUGGAGCGGUGGAAUGCGCAGAUAUCAGGAGGAACACCAGUGGCGAAGGCGGUUCUCUGGGCCUUUCCUGACGCUGAGGAGCGAAAGCGUGGGGAGCGAACAGGCUUAGAUACCCUGGUAGUCCACGCUGUAAACGGUGGGUACUAGGUGUGGGGUCCAUUCCACGGGUUCCGUGCCGUAGCUAACGCUUUAAGUACCCCGCCUGGGGAGUACGGCCGCAAGGCUAAAACUCAAAGGAAUUGACGGGGCCCCGCACAAGCGGCGGAGCAUGCGGAUUAAUUCGAUGCAACGCGUAGAACCUUACCUGGGUUUGACAUGGAUCGGGAGUGCUCAGAGAUGGGUGUGCCUCUUUUGGGGUCGGUUCACAGGUGGUGCAUGGCUGUCGUCAGCUCGUGUCGUGAGAUGUUGGGUUAAGUCCCGCAACGAGCGCAACCCUUGUUCACUGUUGCCAGCACGUUAUGGUGGGGACUCAGUGGAGACCGCCGGGGUCAACUCGGAGGAAGGUGGGGAUGACGUCAAGUCAUCAUGCCCCUUAUGUCCAGGGCUUCACGCAUGCUACAAUGGCUGGUACAGAGAGUGGCGAGCCUGUGAGGGUGAGCGAAUCUCGGAAAGUCGGUCUCAGUUCGGAUUGGGGUCUGCAACUCGACCUCAUGAAGUCGGAGUCGCUAGUAAUCGCAGAUCAGCAACGCUGCGGUGAAUAAGUUCCCGGGGCU
Molecule: ribosomal RNA, 1346 nt
Filed under: uncultured bacterium
Lineage: Bacteria
Description: partial 16S ribosomal RNA
Rfam family: Bacterial small subunit ribosomal RNA
Source: RNAcentral